GGCGGAUGUGGCCAAGUGGAUCAAGGCAG
This 29-nucleotide transfer RNA is filed under the name Cliffortia hantamensis. RNAcentral describes it as "partial tRNA-His". The record is from RNAcentral. Lineage: Eukaryota; Viridiplantae; Streptophyta; Magnoliopsida; Rosales; Rosaceae.